This 1986-nucleotide long non-coding RNA is filed under the name Homo sapiens (human). RNAcentral's name for it is "HSALNT0346413". Lineage: Eukaryota; Metazoa; Chordata; Mammalia; Primates; Hominidae. The record is from RNAcentral.
CUCUCCCUCUCCCUCUCCCUCUCCCUCCACGGUCUCCCUCUGAUGCCGAGCCAAGGCUGGACGGUACUGCUGCCAUCUCGGCUCACUGCAACCUCCCUGCCUGAUUCUCCUGCCUCAGCCUGCCGAGUGCCUGCGAUUGCAGGCGCGCACCGCCACGCCUGACUGGUUUUCGGUUUUUUUUGGUGGAGACGGGGUUUCGCUGUGUUGGCCGGGCUGGUCUCCAGCUCCUAGCCGCGAGUGAUCCGCCAGCCUCGGCCUCCCGAGGUGCCGGGAUUGCAGAUGGAGUCUCGUUCACUCAGUGCUCAAUGGUGCCCAGGCUGGAGUGCAGUGGCGUGAUCUCGGCUCGCUGCAACCACCUCCCAGCCGCCUGCCUUGGCCUCCCGGAGAGCCGAGAUUGCAGCCUCUGCCCAGCAGCCACCCCGUCUGGGAAGUGAGGAGCGUCUCUGCUUGGCCACCCAUCGUCUGGGAUGUGAGGAGCCCCUCUGCCUGGCUGCCCAGUCUGGAAAGUGAGGAGCGUCUCUGCCCGGCCGCCAUCCCAUCUGGGAAGCGAGGAGCGCCUCUUCCCCGCCGCCAUCCCAUCUAGGAAGUGAGGAGCGUCUCUGCCCGGCCGCCCAUCGUCUGAGAUGUGGGGAGCACCUCUGCCCCGCCGCCCUGUCUGGGAUGUGAGGAGUGCCUCUGCUGGGCCGCAGCCCUGUCUGGGAGGUGGGGAGCGUCUCUGCCCGGCCGCUCCGUCUGAGAAGUGAGGAAACCCUCUGCCUGGCAACCGCCCCGUCUGAGAAGUGAGGAGCCCCUCCGUCCGGCAACCACCCCGUCUGGGAAAUGAGGAGCGUCUCCGCCCAGCAGCCACCCCGUCCGGGAGGGAGGUGGGGGGGGUCAGCCCCCCGCCCGGCCAGCCACCCCGUCCGGGAGGUGAGGGGCUCCUCUGCCCGGCCGCCCCUACUGGGAAGUGAGGAGCCCCUCUGCCCGGCCAGCCGCCCCAUCCGGGAGGGAGGCGGUGGGGGGGGGGGUCGGCCAGCCGCCCCGUCCGGGAGGGAGGUGGGGGGGUCAGCCCCCCGCCCGGCCAGCCGCCCCGUCUGGGAGGUGAGGGGCUCCUCUGCCCGGCCGCCCCUACUGGGAAGUGAGGAGCCCCUCUGCCCGGCCAGACGCCCCGUCCAGGAGGGAGGUGGGGGGGUCAGCCCCCCGCCCGGCCAGCCGCCCAGUCCGGGAGGGAGGUGGGGGGUCAGCCCCCCGCCCGGCCAGCCGCCCCGUCUGGGAGGGAGGUGGGGGGAUCAGCCCCCCGCCUGGCCAGCCGCCCCAUCCGGGAGGUGAGGGGCGCCUCUGCCCGGCCGCCCCUACUGGGAAGUGAGGAGCCCCUCUGCCUGGCCAGCCGCCCCGUCCGGGAGGGUGGUGGGGGGGUCAGCCCCCGCCCGGCCAGCCGCCCCAUCCGGGAGGUGAGGGGCGCUUCUGCCCGGCCGCCCCUACUGGGAAGUGAGGAGCCCCUCUGCCCGGCCACGACCCCGUCUGGGAGGUGUGCCCAGCGGCUCAUUGGGGAUGGGCCAUGAUGACAAUGGCGGUUUUGUGGAAUAGAAAGGCGGGAAGGGUGGGGAAAAAAUUGAGAAAUCGGAUGGUUGCCGGGUCUGUGUGGAUAGAAGUAGACAUGGGAGACUUUUCAUUUUGUUCUGUACUAAGAAAAAUUCUUCUGCCUUGGGAUCCUGUUGAUCUGUGACCUUAUCCCCAACCCUGUGCUCUCUGAAACAUGUGCUGUGUCCACUCAGGGUUAAAUGGAUUAAGGGUGGUGCAAGAUGUGCUUUGUUAAACAGAUGCUUGAAGGCAGCAUGCUCGUUAAGAGUCAUCACCACUCCCUAAUCUUAAGUACCCAGGGACACAAACACUGCGGAAGGCCAAGGCCGCAGGGUCCUCUGCCUAGGAAAACCAGAGACCUUUGUUCACUUGUUUAUCUGCUGACCUUCCCUCCACUAUUGUCCUAUGACCCUGCCAAAUCCCAAC